Molecule: ribosomal RNA, 253 nt
Filed under: uncultured bacterium
Lineage: Bacteria
Description: partial 16S ribosomal RNA
Rfam family: Bacterial small subunit ribosomal RNA
Source: RNAcentral
UACGAAGGGGGCUAGCGUUGCUCGGAAUUACUGGGCGUAAAGCGCACGUAGGCGGCUUCUUAAGUCGGUGGUGAAAUCCUGGAGCUCAACUCCAGAACUGCCUUCGAUACUGGGAAGCUCGAGUCCGGGAGAGGUGAGUGGAACUGCGAGUGUAGAGGUGAAAUUCGUAGAUAUUCGCAAGAACACCAGUGGCGAAGGCGGCUCACUGGCCUGGUACUGACGCUGAGGUGCGAAAGCGUGGGGAGCAAACAGG